AUCGGGAUUCGGAGCAGUGGCGAACUGGUGAGUAAUACGUAGAUAAUCUACCCGACGGAUGGGGAUAACAGCUCGAAAGGGCUGCUAAUACCGAAUACGCUCCCUGUGCCGCAUGACGCGGGGAGGAAAGAUGGCCUCUGCUUGCAAGCUGUCGCCGACGGUUGGGUCUACGCCCCAUUAGCUUGUUGGUGGGGUAACGGCCUACCAAGGCUACGAUGGGUAGCUGGUUUGAGAGGGCGACCAGCCACACUGGGACUGAGAUACGGCCCAGACUCCUACGGGAGGCAGCAGUGAGGAAUUUUCCGCAAUGGAGGAAACUCUGACGGAGCGACGCCGCGUGGGUGAAGAAGGCUUUCGGGUUGUAAAGCCCUGUCAGGUGGGACGAAAGACCGGGUGUUAAUAGCACCCGAGGAUGACUGUACCACCAAAGGAAGCACCGGCCAACUACGUGCCAGCAGCCGCGGUAAUACGUAGGGUGCAAGCGUUAUCCGGAAUUACUGGGCGUAAAGAGCUCGUAGGCGGUUUGGUAAGUCCUAUGUGAAAGAUCCGGGCUCAACCCGGGGAACGCGUCGGAUACUGCCAAACUUGAGAGCGGGAGAGGAAAGUGGAAUUCCAGGUGUAGCGGUGAAAUGCGUAGAUAUCUGGAAGAACACCGGUGGCGAAGGCGGCUUUCUAGACCGCAUCUGACGCUGAGGAGCGAAAGCCAGGGGAGCGAACGGGAUUAGAUACCCCGGUAGUCCACGCCGUAAACGAUGUCUACUAGGUCGUGGAGGUUCUGACACCUGCACAGCCGAAGCAAAAGUGUUAAGUAGACCGCCUGGGGAGUACGGUCGCAAGGCUAAAACUCAAAGGAAUUGACGGGGGCUCACACAAGCGGUGGAGCAUGUGGAUCAAUUCGAAGCAACGCGCAGAACCUUACCUGGGUUUGACAUGCUUGGAUGCUUGCCGAGAAACCGGUUAAGCUGCCCUUCGGGGUGAAACUUGCACAGGUGCUGCAUGGCUGUCGUCAGCUCGUGCCGUGAGGUGUUGGGUUAAGUCCCGCAACGAGCGCAACCCCUGUCGUCAGUUGUUUUCUCUGGCGAGACCGCCCCGCGAAACGGGGAGGAAGGUGGGGAUGACGUCAAGUCAGCAUGGCCCUUAUGUCCUGGGCUACACACACGCUACAAUGGGUGGUACAAUUGGUUGCAAUGGAGCGAUCCGGAGCCAAUCCCUAAAGCCAUCCUCAGUACGAAUUGCAGGCUGAAACCCGCCUGCAUGAAGCUGGAGUUGCUAGUAACCGCAGGUCAGCAUACUGCGGUGAAUACGUUCUCGGGCCUUGUACACACCGCCCGUCACGUCAUGAAAGUUGGCAACACCUGAAGUCGAUGGGCUAACCCCGGCUUGCCGGGGAGGCAG
Molecule: ribosomal RNA, 1395 nt
Filed under: uncultured bacterium
Lineage: Bacteria
Description: 16S ribosomal RNA
Rfam family: Bacterial small subunit ribosomal RNA
Source: RNAcentral